Molecule: ribosomal RNA, 254 nt
Filed under: uncultured bacterium
Lineage: Bacteria
Description: partial 16S ribosomal RNA
Rfam family: Bacterial small subunit ribosomal RNA
Source: RNAcentral
UACGUAGGCAGCGAGCGUUGUUCGGAGUUACUGGGCGUAAAGGGUGUGUAGGCGGUUGUUUAAGUUUGGUGUGAAAUCUCCCGGCUCAACUGGGAGGGUGCGCCGAAUACUGAAUGACUUCGAGUGCGGGAGAGGAAAGUGGAAUUCCUGGUGUAGCGGUGAAAUGCGUAGAUAUCGAGAGGAACACCUGCGGCGAAGGCGGGUUGCUGGGCUGACACUGACGCUGAUGCGCGAAAGCUAGGGGAGCGAACGGG